GAUGAAGAACGCAGCGAAAUGCGAUACGUAGUGUGAAUUGCAGAAUUCAGUGAAUCAUCGAAUCUUUGAACGCACAUUGCGCCCUUUGGUAUUCCAAAGGGCAUGCCUGUUCGAGCGUCAUUUACCCCUCAAGCACUGCUUGGUGUUGGGCGUCUGUCCCGCUUCGCGCGCGGACUCGCCCCAAAGGUAUUGGCAGCGGUCGUGCCAGCUUCUCGCGCAGCACAUUGCGCUUCUCGAGGCGGUCGAUCGGCGUCCACGAAGCUCACCUCCACCGUUUGACCUCGGAUCAGGUAGGGAUACCCGCUGAACUUAAGCAUAUCAAUAAGCGGAGGA
RNAcentral lists this unclassified non-coding RNA (333 nucleotides) under soil metagenome. Its description in RNAcentral is "partial contains 5.8S ribosomal RNA, internal transcribed spacer 2, and large subunit ribosomal RNA". The stretch from base 1 to 120 matches the Rfam family "5.8S ribosomal RNA", at positions 35 to 154 of the family's 154-position model. The record is from RNAcentral.